GGGACAGGGAGGAGCUGGACAGGCCCCAGGGCACGGGCACUGAGUGAGCCCAGGAAGGCCUGAGGAGGGGCUCAGGGCAGGGACGGGAUCCGGCGCCCGGGCGCUUUAGCUGCAGAGCUGACCCAGAAGAUGUGAGGCCUGGAGGGCAGACAGCAGGCCACGACGAGGACUCCGGGCUGAGGGGCACGGGCAGCGGGUGGCAGAGGCCUGCUGUGUUCAAGAAAGGUCCCGCUGGCCCAGGGCAGAUUCAGGCUGGGACAACAGGGCAGUGGGCUCAGGGCCUCAGCAGAGGCCCGUUGGGAGCAGGGGCCACCGGUCAGAGCUCAGACAGAUGGCUCGCUCAGGCCGAGCACCCACAGGAAGCCCGAGUGGGGACCCAGGGGCUGGGCCCAGGAGACUCUAAUCCAGCAGGAGGUCACCCAGCACCGACCAGGCCCAUGGGGCCAGCGCGUGCAGCCGCAGAUACACGAGGCCCUGGGGCGGCAGAGAGCUACGCCGGGCGGCUGGUCUGCAGACUUCCUGGAGGGCCACCCCAAGCCCGGGCACCUGAUACCCUGCCCGGACCCUCCCAGGAGCGAGACCCUUGUGGUCACACGGCCUCCUCUCUUGCAGCCUCCACCACGCCCCCAUCGGUGUUCCCACUGGCCCCCAGCUGCGGGACCACAUCUGGCGCCACCGUGGCCCUGGCCUGCCUGGUGUUAGGCUACUUCCCUGAGCCGGUGACCGUGUCCUGGAACUCCGGCGCCCUGACCAGCGGUGUGCACACCUUCCCGUCCGUCCUGCAGGCCUCGGGGCUCUACUCUCUCAGCAGCAUGGUGACGGUGCCCUCCAGCAGGUGGCUCAGUGAGACCUUCACCUGCAACGUGGCCCACCCGCCCAGCGACACCAAGGUGGACAAGACCGUACCCAAAACAGCGUCCACAAUAGAGCCCAAAACCGGGGAAGGUCCCAAAUGCCCAGUUCCUGAGAUUCCUGGAGCACCGUCCGUCUUCAUCUUCCCCCCAAAACCCAAGGACACCCUCUCGAUUUCCCGGACGCCGGAGGUCACGUGCUGGUGGUGGACUUGGGCCCAGAUGACUCCAAUGUCCAGAUCACAUGGUUUGUGGAUAACACCGAGAUGCACACAGCCAAGACGAGGCCGCGUGAGGAGCAGUUCAACAGCACCUACCGUGUGGUCAGUGUCCUCCCCAUUCCUGCACCAGGACUGGCUCAAGGGGAAGGAGUUCAAGUGCAAGGUCAACAGCAAAGCCCUCCCCUCAGCCAUCGAGAGGACCAUCUCCAAGGCCAAAGGACAGCCCCACGAGCCCCAGGUGUACGUCCUGCCUCCAGCCCAGGAGGAGCUCAGCAGGAACAAAGUCAGUGUGACCUGCCUGAUCGAAGGCUUCUACCCGCCUGACAUUGCCGUCGAGUGGGAGAUCACCGGACAGGCAGAGCCAGAGAACAACUACCAGACGACCCCGCCCCAGCUGGACAGCGAUGGGACCUACUUCCUGUACAGCAGGCUCUUGGUGGACAAGUCCCGCUGGCAGAGUGGAAACACCUACACCUGCUCAGUGUCACACGAAGCUCUGCACAGCCACCACACACAGAAAUUCCCUCACCCACUGUUCCUGGACGACAGCUGUGCGGAGGACCAGGACGGGGAGCUGGAUGGGCUGUGGACCACCAUCUCCAUCUUCAUCACGCUCUUCCUGCUCAGCGUGUGCUACAGCGCCACUGUCACCCUCUUCAAGGUGAAGUGGAUCUUCUCCUCGGUGGUGGAGCUGAAGCGCACGAUCGCGCCCGACUACAGGAACAUGAUCGGGCAGGGGGCCUAGGGCCAGCCGUCCCGGGCGGGUGUCAGCGCUGCCCCAACCCUGCACAGGAUCCCGGUGCGUCAGCCUGCUGCCAGGCCUGCUCUCCCGCCCUCUGACCUCGCCACCC
Non-coding RNA from Lynx canadensis (Canada lynx), 1923 nucleotides. The record is from the annotation of a RefSeq genome assembly. NCBI's taxonomy places the organism in Eukaryota, Metazoa, Chordata, Mammalia, Carnivora, Felidae.